CUUCGGGUAAUGAGGAUGGCGGACGGGUGAGUAACGCGUAAGGAACUUGCCUCUUGGACUGGGACAACUGUUGGAAACGACAGCUAAUACCGGAUAUUAUGAGAUUCUCGCAUGAGAAACUUAUGAAAGCUAUAUGCGCCAAGAGAGAGCCUUGCGUUCCAUUAGCUAGUUGGUGGGGUAACGGCCCACCAAGGCGACGAUGGAUAGCCGGCCUGAGAGGGUGAACGGCCACAAGGGGACUGAGACACGGCCCUUACUCCUACGGGAGGCAGCAGUGGGGAAUAUUGGACAAUGGGCCACAAGCCUGAUCCAGCAAUUCUGUGUGCACGAUGAAGGUCUUCGGAUUGUAAAGUGCUUUCAGUUGGGAAGAAGAAAGUGACGGUACCAACAGAAGAAGCGACGGCUAAAUACGUGCCAGCAGCCGCGGUAAUACGUAUGUCGCAAGCGUUAUCCGGAUUUAUUGGGCGUAAAGCGCGUCUAGGCGGAAAAAUAAGUCUGAUGUUAAAAUGCGGGGCUCAACUCCGUAUUGCGUUGGAAACUGUUUUUCUAGAGU
RNAcentral lists this ribosomal RNA (553 nucleotides) under uncultured bacterium. Its description in RNAcentral is "bacterial SSU rRNA". It matches the Rfam family "Bacterial small subunit ribosomal RNA", at positions 78 to 647 of the family's 1533-position model. The record is from RNAcentral.